CCUAACACAUGCAAGUCGAACGGUAACAGGAAACAGCUUGCUUUUUUGCUGACGAGUGGCGGACGGGUGAGUAAUGUCUGGGAAACUGCCUGAUGGAGGGGGAUAACUACUGGAAACGGUAGCUAAUACCGCAUAACGUCGCAAGACCAAAGAGGGGGACCUUCGGGCCUCUUGCCAUCAGAUGUGCCCAGAUGGGAUUAGCUAGUAGGUGGGGUAACGGCUCACCUAGGCGACGAUCCCUAGCUGGUCUGAGAGGAUGACCAGCCACACUGGAACUGAGACACGGUCCAGACUCCUACGGGAGGCAGCAGUGGGG
Molecule: ribosomal RNA, 316 nt
Filed under: uncultured bacterium
Lineage: Bacteria
Description: bacterial SSU rRNA
Rfam family: Bacterial small subunit ribosomal RNA
Source: RNAcentral